UCUAUAAUCACCACCAUGUAAAAGCAUAAGGGUGUCCGUAUGUGCACUCGGCACAGGACACUCGAGGCAAGCAUUCGAUGAUCAACUUUGUGUCCUAGUGGAUCAUGUUCCAUGCAGCUGACCAAAACUGUGGCCAUAAGGUGGUCACUGCCUGUCGUGGCGACAAUCUCCGAACCUGUUGGUGGAAACAAGCGGUAAGGGAUGCCAUCAAGCUGAAAAAUGAUUCCUCUUGCGCCUUUUGGACCUGUGGGUAUCCAGAGGCGGCUGAUGGGUACCGGCUGGCCAAGCAAAAUGCAGCCUUGGCAGUCCAUGAGGCAAAAAUUGUGCGAGGGAGAAGUUUGGCGAGGCCAUGGAGAAUAACUCCCAGAAGGCUUCAAAGAAAUUCUGGUCCACCAUUCGGCAUCUCUUGAGAGGUAAGUAGUGCAUGGUCAACACUGUAUACAGUGGGAUAGGUGCUGUUGACCUCAACACAGGAUAUUGUGAAUUGGUGGAGAGAAUACUUCAAAGACCUCCUCACUUCCACUGACAUGAGGAUCACACUCCUCAGCUUACCCAGUCUAUUCAAGGGUGCAGGAGACUAGGGUCCAUCAGAAAGUUGAAUCUCAGGUCCAAGAGGAGCAGUGAGGUUUUCUUCCUGUCUGUAGAACAGUGGACCAGGUCCUAUGCAUUGUACUCAAGGGUGUAUGGGAGUUCACUCAACCAGUCUACAUGUGUUGUGUGGACUUGGAGAAGGCUUUGACCGUUUACCCUGAGGGAUCUUGUGGAAGAUGCUCUGGGAGUAUGGGGUAUCGGACGCCCUAGUACGGGCAGUACGAUCUCUGUACAACUGGUGUCAGGGUUUGGUCCACAUUGCCAGCAGCAAUUCAUAUUAAUUUUCAGUGAAGGUUGGACUCCGCCAAGGCUACCCUUUGUCACCGAUUCUAUUCUCUUUUACGGGCAAAAUUUCUAGGCGUAGCCAAGCUGUUGAGUGCGUCCGGUUUGAGGCGAGCUGCUGUGUCUCCAAAUUGAGAGGAGCCACAUGAGGUUGCUCGGGCAUCUGAUCUGGAUGCCAUCUGGACGUCUCCUUGGUGAAGUGUUCUGGGUAUAUCCCACU
Long non-coding RNA from Hippocampus comes (tiger tail seahorse), 1093 nucleotides. RefSeq lists it as uncharacterized. The record is from RefSeq and is a predicted model, not a curated record. The transcript has 2 exons. Lineage: Eukaryota; Metazoa; Chordata; Actinopteri; Syngnathiformes; Syngnathidae.